Long non-coding RNA from Suncus etruscus (white-toothed pygmy shrew), 323 nucleotides. RefSeq lists it as uncharacterized. The transcript has 3 exons. The record is from RefSeq and is a predicted model, not a curated record. NCBI's taxonomy places the organism in Eukaryota, Metazoa, Chordata, Mammalia, Eulipotyphla, Soricidae.
AGGUUGGUAUCGCAGUUGUUUUCCAGCUGUCACUGGAGCCCAGUACCGGAGGUAUGGCUGCUGUAAAUCCUUGGACGUCCUGGGGUAUCUUUACGAACAAGCCCUGGAGGAUGGCAGCUGUUGAUCCAUGGACCUCUUGGGCUCUGUGUCCUCAGGAUUCUGCCUGCUGCAUAGAGGAGGUCCCUGACGAGGGGAAGAGGGCCACCAGGAUCCCACCAGACCAGGUCCAGGUGAGAUGGGUCUUCUGCCCUUUUUUUUUUUUUUGCUUUUUUAUGAAAAACUGCCCAAUGCCUGAAGGUGUCAGGAUUUUCCAUAGCCAUCCU